AAAUCUGAAAAAAAAAAUGGAGCAACUUGAGUCCUAGAAGAGAAAAUGAAGAGAGCAGAGAGCGACUCUGGGGAGACAAGAGGGCAAUUGGUACAAUGUAUCACCAAGUCUGCAUAUGAGUUUUGAAGGUUUCUCCUUUCCCUUUCCAAUACAAAUACCUCUUUCCUUAACACAGAAGCACAGCUUUGCUGGUGAAGUGAAGUGUCUGAACAGCAUCUAAGAUUUGCUGUUGCUCAGAAAUACAUGGUCACCAGAGAAAUGUGUCAAUUUACACUGCUGUCAUUCUACAUCUUUAAAAAUGCGUGACUUCUUGGAAAGGUGCAUGAGUGCAUGAGGGGUUCUGUCAAAGUUAGUGGGAUACUUGUAUUAUUAACCACUCCUGUUGCAAGACAUGGAAGAAACUUCUUAGGAGCUUACAGAGGGCUCUGUACUGGAAUUCCUAAAGUGUCUUAGCAAUACAGUAACACUGCUUUACACAUAGAGCCAUGGAUGUCUGGAAAUCUAGCUGCAGAAUGAACCAUCGCGUUGCUGCAAAGCUGAAUAACAAAAUGCUGAAUUUUCAAAAGCUUCUAUCAGUAGCCUUUUUGUUUUCUGGACUACUAAACUGGCGUGCAACAGGCUGGCACUGAACAUUUGCUCCAUGUUCUGCUGAAUGAAGAACCGAGCACAAGGCAGCUAAGGCACCUUCCUUGUAGACAGUAAAGAUGACAAAACUGGGAGCCGCUGCAGGAAUUGAAAAGGAGAAGUGUAGGCUACAAGUGGUGUGUGCUGCACUGAUGCUUAUUUAUGAAUCAAAGGAGAAGGAAGCAAGAUACUGGAGCUUACUGAAACUGUCUAGAGCUACUAUACUAAAAAUCUUUAAGCUUUCAGCUACAUGAACCGUACUGCUAAUAGCAAAAACAAAACCUCAGAGAAGAUCCUCAUUUGGUGUCUCUUUUGCAGCGGGGAAAAGUUUGGUAGUGGAGUGACAGUCUCAGAACAAACAUCCCUGGCUACCAGCAGUCUCCAUCAGCUUGCAAACCGGCUAAGUGCAAUACAGGAGUUCUGUGGGAAAACUUGUAAAGGAAAGAAGAGUGAAACUUUUCAGAUGGGAAGACUGCAUUAA
Molecule: long non-coding RNA, 1105 nt
Filed under: Numida meleagris (helmeted guineafowl)
Lineage: Eukaryota; Metazoa; Chordata; Aves; Galliformes; Numididae
Description: lncRNA (ENSNMEG00000015852.1)
Source: RNAcentral